GGAGAACUCAAGCGUUACCCGGAAUCACUGGGCGUAAAGCGUUGCGUAGGCUGUUUUGCAAGUCGGAUCUUAAAGGCCAAGGCUCAACCUUGGAACUGGGUACGAUACUACAAAACUAGAGGAUGGUAGAGGUCAGUGGAAUUGCUGGUGUAGGAGUGAAAUCCGUAGAUAUCAGCAGGAACACCAAUGGCGAAGGCAGCUGACUGGGCCACUCCUGACGCUGAGGCACGAAAGCGUAGGUAGCGAACGGGAUUAGAUACCCCGGUAGUCUACGCCGUAAACGAUGGAUACUGUCUGUCGGGAGUAUCGACCCUCUCGGUAGAGAAGCUAACGCGUUAAGUAUCCCGCCUGGGGAGUACGGCCGCAAGGCUA
Molecule: ribosomal RNA, 372 nt
Filed under: uncultured bacterium
Lineage: Bacteria
Description: bacterial SSU rRNA
Rfam family: Bacterial small subunit ribosomal RNA
Source: RNAcentral